AACAAUGGCUUUACUCGUCGCUCGUCGUAAGCCCAUGCGCUCUUGUGAUCUCUAGCACAGUCACAACCACUGUUGCAAAAGCCCGAGCUGCGCAAUUGGGUCUUGUGAUCCAGGGCGGUGCUGGCUGCCUCACGGCUCUCGCAAGGCUCAAGAUCCAGAAGGAGAAACUCCGGGAGGUAUCGAACAAGAAGGGCGAGAUCACUGUGACAUGCGAGGAUGGCGAUGGCAGCAGCGAGCAUGCGCGGCCAAGUCUCGAGCCCGACGAAGUUGCCAUGCUCACAUCGGCAGCUUGGAUUGGGAGAGAGUAUGUUGCGGCAGUCUCUUCUUGCAAUCUCUUCUUGCUCGUCACAAAGAUGCUCGUCACGGGGUUUGUGGUUGCUGGCUACAUUCCAGCGCUUGGGGCAGUGGCCCUCAUUGCAGAUCUUGGAGCUUGCACGGCGGUGGCUUUGAGAGGAUUUGUCACACUCUUGUUGGUCGAGGAGAAGGGAGCUUCUCGACGAGAUCUGGAAGAGCGGAAACAAGGUGAAUGGGACUUGAGGACUCCGUUGCUUUAGAAUUCUCCAAAUUGAAAGCAGAGUUAAGAAUAGUGUAUAUGUAUACAUAAAUUCAUAAAUAAAAAUGACAAUACUUUACCAAAUGAGCAUGGUAGUUUGUAACUUUUGGAAUACUCUUAAAUAAAUUGCUAUACUUUGCAUGUAGCAGUAGUGUUAUUCUUAUUUAUUAAUUUAAUUGAUUAAAUAAAGUUUAUAAUUAUAAGCAUGUUUGUAAUUUAUAAACAUAAGAUUAAUCUUAUUGCCAUUACAUGAUAAAAUAAAUAGAAUAUACUGGAAAGGUUUAAGAAAUUUUAUAAAUUAUAAACAAGUCAUCACAGGUUUGCUUAAGCAAACCAAAAAUUAAGCUAAUUACUUGUAGAGUUUAUGGCAUAUCGUGUUCUGUUUCCUAAGUGACGAUGUUUCUCUAGAACUUUGGCUGUGUAUUCUCCUCUAGAAUUUGGGAAAUCGUUCAUUCAUGGCUCUUGCACAAGUUGAUUUGCUGUUGCUGAUUAUCAAUGAGAAUGUGUUGAUCAUAUUUGCUUGUAAGUCUUCACCUGUGGUUUCCUUUUGAUUAAAUCUAUGCAUUGCAGCUUUUAGUGCUGUGUGCUUGAAAGACUACACCAAAGCAGGAGUUUUAGUUUCUUUGUUCUUGCUUGGAAACUGGAUCAUAGCUUGGUUUGAGGCGAAAAAAAAAGAUCACGUAAGAAUUCCCAACAUCUGCAUUUGAUUUUGCAUACUCUUGUCCAACAGAUCAACAUCUUCAAUGAUCUAGAAUCCGCAUCAUUUGUGAAAAUCACAAGCUCGUCUCAUACCAAGAUAGAAUCUCAUAAUAACAAAUCUUGGGAGACAGUCACAACAAUGGUCACCGAGGAAGCAAAGCUCUUGAAGCGAUCGCCGACUAUAGACUUCUUUGCAAAAUAUCAUACCCCAGGUAAAUUGCUCUACUAAAUCAUUGAUAUUAAAAAAAAAAAUUCACUAUUGUUUGUUCGUGCCUGUGCAGCCAUGAUCUUAGCUACAGCACUGGUCCCUCUGGUGCAGCAAUCGAAAACACUGGCUUUACUCGUCGCUCGUCGCAAGCCCAUGCGCUGUUGUGAUCUCUAGCACAGUCACAACCACCCGAGCUGCGCAAUUGGGUCUUGUGAUCCAGGGCGGUGCUGGCUACCUCACGGCUCUCGCAAGGCUCAAGAUCCAGAAGGAGAAACUCCGGGAGGUAUCGAGCAACAAGGGCGAGAUCACUGUGACAUGCGAGGAUGGCGAUGGCAGCAGCGACCAUGGGCGGCCAAGUCUCGAGCCCGACGAAGUUGCCCUCUUCUUGCUCGUCACAAAGAUGCUCGUCACGGGGUUUGUGGUCGCUGGCUACAUUCCAGCGCUUGGGGCAGUGGCCCUCAUUGCAGAUCUUGGAGCUUGCACGGCGGUGGCUUUGAGAGGAUUUGUCACACUCUUCUUGGUUGAGGAGAAGGGAACUUCUCGACGAGAUCUGGAAAAGCAGGAACAAGGUGAAUGGGAUUUGAGGACUCCGUUGCUUUAGAAUUCUCCAAGUGUUUGCCUUCAAAUUGAAAGCAACCAAAAGUGUGGUGAUGCUACAGUUAAGAAUAGAGCGUAUAUGCUGAAUACAUGUGUUUACAAA
RNAcentral lists this long non-coding RNA (2160 nucleotides) under Selaginella moellendorffii. RNAcentral's name for it is "long non-coding RNA (SMOE_LNC001201)". Lineage: Eukaryota; Viridiplantae; Streptophyta; Lycopodiopsida; Selaginellales; Selaginellaceae. The record is from RNAcentral.